Molecule: ribosomal RNA, 253 nt
Filed under: uncultured bacterium
Lineage: Bacteria
Description: partial 16S ribosomal RNA
Rfam family: Bacterial small subunit ribosomal RNA
Source: RNAcentral
GACAGAGGGGGCAAGCGUUGCUCGGAAUUACUGGGCGUAAAGGGCGCGUAGGCGGAAUGGCAAGUCGGUCGUGAAAUCCUUCGGCUCAACCGAAGAACGUCGAUCGAAACUGCCGUUCUUGAGGAUUGCAGAGGAGACUGGAAUUCCCGGUGUAGCGGUGAGAUGUGUAGAGAUCGGGAGGAACACCGGUGGCGAAGGCGGGUCUCUGGGCAAUUCCUGACGCUGAGGCGCGAAAGCGUGGGGAGCAAACGGG